Molecule: long non-coding RNA, 920 nt
Organism: Populus nigra (black poplar)
Lineage: Eukaryota; Viridiplantae; Streptophyta; Magnoliopsida; Malpighiales; Salicaceae
Exons: 2
Source: RefSeq, a predicted model, not a curated record
UCCUCUCUUGUUCAAAAUAGCUGCUACAUCUACAGUACCCGACCCACAUUAAUUUAAAUUCCAAGAGACAACAUGUCUCUUGACAAUUAAUAUUUUUAAAAUUAUUUUUAAUAUCAAUACAUUAAAAUAAUCUGAAAAAAUUAAAAAAAUAAAACAAUUUAAUUAUUUUUUAAAAACACUUUUAAAGCUAAAACAAACAAAUUAUCUAAUAAAAACCAUGAAUUAUGCAUGACAUGCAUUUAUUAUCUUAUUUGUUUUUACAUAGAAAUAUUAAAUCUAUUGACUCCUAUCCAUGUAAGGAACGGACCAAACUCCUAUCCAUUUUGCUUUCUUUUUGACAAAUCUAUUGACUUUCAUAUAUAAAUCACUACUGAAUAUUUCUCAUUGAUAUUUAUUUCCUUGGUUUAAUUUCAUGAUCUUGGUGCUUUUCAGUCACCCGACUAGGUAUGUGGUACCAUAAUUUUCUGCAAUAAGAGUGAUGUUCUUGAAGCAUGUCUAACAAAUUUCUGUGUGUUAACUCUUAGGUUUUUCAUAGAUGAGAUGCGGAGGAAAAAAUGUGGUCGAAGGCCUAAGUUCAUUCUUUUUAUUAGAUAGAGAAUUUCUCACUUCUAAAUAUACUGGCUGAGUUUCUUAUGAUCUGAUUUUUCUAACCCGCUGCUGCUGUCCUCAAAAGUCGUUAUGACUGACUGAAACACACCUGCUCUAUCCUCAUCAUCUGCAACAUCUUCUUCCCCAUCACCAUAGGUGUCCACGUCAUCGGCCAAAUCAACCAAGUCUUCCAUGGCGUAUGAAAUAGAGCCAGCAAUUGGGUAAUUAAUGUAAAUGGUCCAUCUUCUCGAGGUUCACAAUCCGUGGGUCCAAUCAUUGAUGCUGAACACGAAUAAAGACUUGACCAUAAAUUUUAAAGAUUCUUUUUGACU